This 73-nucleotide transfer RNA is filed under the name Sus scrofa (pig). It matches the Rfam family "tRNA". Rfam says of the family: Transfer RNA (tRNA) molecules are approximately 80 nucleotides in length. Their secondary structure includes four short double-helical elements and three loops (D, anti-codon, and T loops). The record is from Rfam by way of RNAcentral. Lineage: Eukaryota; Metazoa; Chordata; Mammalia; Artiodactyla; Suidae.
UCCCUGGUGGCCUAGUGGCUAAGGCUUCAGUGCUGUCGCCCCUGUGGUGCAGGUUUGAUCCCUGGCCCGGGAA